AACGCGAAGAACCUUACCAGGUCUUGACAUCCCUCUGAACAUCUAAGAGAUUAGGUGGGCCUUCGGGACAGAGGAGACAGGUGGUGCAUGGUUGUCGUCAGCUCGUGUCGUGAGAUGUUGGGUUAAGUCCCGCAACGAGCGCAACCCUUGAUCUUAGUUGCCAGCACGCAAGGUGGGCACUCUAGGAUGACUGCCGGUGACAAACCGGAGGAAGGUGGGGAUGACGUCAAAUCAUCAUGCCCCUUAUGACCUGGGCUACACACGUACUACAAUGGCCGGUACAACGGGCAGCGAAAGAGCGAUCUGGAGCGAAUCUCAAAAAGCCGGUCUCAGUUCGGAUUGCAGGCUGCAACUCGCCUGCAUGAAGUCGGAAUUGCUAGUAAUCGCGGAUCAGCAUGCCGCGGUGAAUACGUUCCCGGGCCUUGUACACACCGCGCAUA
RNAcentral lists this ribosomal RNA (440 nucleotides) under uncultured bacterium. RNAcentral's name for it is "bacterial SSU rRNA". It matches the Rfam family "Bacterial small subunit ribosomal RNA", at positions 958 to 1398 of the family's 1533-position model. The record is from RNAcentral.